UCAGCCGGGAGAAUGUGCAACUCGGAGAGAGGAAAGGGAACGUUUUGAAUUCCUGAAUGAUUUUGUAGAAAGGCGGCUUAGGAUCAUUAUGUCAGCUUUACUGAGGGUGGAUUAAGCAGGUCUAGAUUCUAUGCCUUGUACACGGCUCUUUCACAAUGUGA
This 161-nucleotide small RNA is filed under the name Amphilophus citrinellus (Midas cichlid). Its description in RNAcentral is "Six3os1 conserved region 7 (ENSACIG00000009838.1)". The stretch from base 39 to 161 matches the Rfam family "Six3os1 conserved region 7", at positions 60 to 194 of the family's 194-position model. The record is from RNAcentral. Lineage: Eukaryota; Metazoa; Chordata; Actinopteri; Cichliformes; Cichlidae.